Cricetulus griseus (Chinese hamster) is the source of this 103-nucleotide small nuclear RNA. NCBI's taxonomy places the organism in Eukaryota, Metazoa, Chordata, Mammalia, Rodentia, Cricetidae. The record is from Ensembl.
ACCAUAUUUUUGGCAUCGUACUGCUAAAGAUGGGAUGGAGCAGAGAUUAGCACAGGCCCUAUGCAUGGAUGAUACUCAAAUUUGCAAAGUGUUCCACAUUUUU